RNAcentral lists this ribosomal RNA (253 nucleotides) under uncultured bacterium. RNAcentral describes it as "partial 16S ribosomal RNA". It matches the Rfam family "Bacterial small subunit ribosomal RNA", at positions 524 to 776 of the family's 1533-position model. The record is from RNAcentral.
UACGGGGGGGGCAAGCGUUGUUCGGAAUUACUGGACGUAAAGGGCUCGUAGGCGGCCAACUAAGUCAGACGUGAAAUCCCUCGGCUUAACCGGGGAACUGCGUCUGAUACUGGAUGGCUUGAGUUCGGGAGAGGGAUGCGGAAUUCCAGGUGUAGCGGUGAAAUGCGUAGAUAUCUGGAGGAACACCGGUGGCGAAGGCGGCAUCCUGGACCAUUACUGACACUGAAUAGCGAAAGCCAGGGGAGCAAACGGG